GUCUGGCCUGCCCACUGAGUUUUGAAGGGCCGCGGUAUUUUGACCGUGCAAAGGUAGCAUAAUCAUUAGUCUUUUAAUUGUGGGCUGGAAUGAAUGGUUGGACGAGAAGUGAACUGUCUUUUCUGUAAAUUUUGAAUUUUACUUUUAAGUGAAAAGGCUUAAAUAAUUUUGAGGGACGAUAAGACCCUAUAAAACUUUACAUCAAUAGGAAUAUUCUUAGGGUUGAAUUAGAAAUUUGUUUAUUUCGUAGUUGUUUUGUUGGGGCGACAAGAAUAUAAGGAACUAGUAACUGUUUAGGAAACAAAAUAGGAAUCUUUAGUUUAAUUGAUCCUUUAUUAGGGAUUAUAAGAUCAAGUUACUUUAGGGAUAACAGCGUAAUUUUCUCUGAGAGUUCUUAUCGCUGAGAUUAGUUGCGACCUCGAUGUUGAAUUAAAGUUUCUCCCAGAUGUAGGAGUUUGGGUAGAGGGUCUGUUCGACCUU
Molecule: ribosomal RNA, 480 nt
Filed under: Pseudopandalus curvirostris
Lineage: Eukaryota; Metazoa; Arthropoda; Malacostraca; Decapoda; Pandalidae
Description: partial 16S ribosomal RNA
Rfam family: Bacterial large subunit ribosomal RNA
Source: RNAcentral